UCAUUCGAUUACUAUUAAAUAUAUUAAAUUAAAUUAUUCGAUUAAUUAUAUACAACUUAUUCACCACCAUUCAUUAUUCAUGACAAUUUAUGCAUAGAAAAGUCAACAACUUUAAUAGCAAAUUGUCGAGGAAAUAUUCAAAACAUUUCCAUGAAAAUGGCGUAAUUUACACACGUUUAGCGACAGCUGCUAGCUUAUAAUAGUUUCUGGCCAAUUCUGGAAAUGUCAAUGCCGUGUCCGUAACCGAAGCGACUGGCCAAAACCAGUCGCAUCGCAUCAACAAAGGCCCCAUAAAUAAUUUCGUUCGCAAUUCAAUUUCCAGCUAAAUGCCGGCGUCACAUUUGACAGAGUGUUGGAGUUAUGCCUCAGCGAACACCCUCUUGGCCAAUUUGGUAGUGGCAACUGUUGCAAAAUGCGCACUUUUCACACCCGGGGCCGCAAAUAGUAUUUAGAGUGUGCCCCUGUGUGUGUGUGUGUGUGUGUGUGUGCUGGCAAAUCGCAUAAAUCAUACGCCCAGUUGUACACGAAGGAUACUCGGAUACUUGGAUACUUGGAUACUUGGGGCGUUAAUUCAAUACGAAGAAAACGUUCGGUCGACUUCAGUACCUGCUGGCAGGAUGCCGAGCAACCAGUCAGCCAGCCAGCCAGCAGCCAGGACCUGCGAGAAUUGCCCCUGCUGCUUCAGCUGUUGCUGCCAACGGCAGGCGUCGCAAACUUUUGCGAAAAAGGUCAAUUAAACUGCAUUAAGUUUAAUAACUUUUGUGCAAACGAACGAACGAACGAACGUUUCAUUCGAACGUACUGGCGCACUGUUACCAUGUAUCUGCAGAGCCAGCCCAUUACUGCCCCGCCCAACACAGCCAGCCCAGCCCAGCCCAGCCCCGACCAUAUUAAAACGAAGGCAAAGGCUUUUGGCCAGCGGAUUAUGUACAAAACAGACAUAGGGGUCCACAAAAAGAGAGAACACGCUACGAGUAGAACGCAACAUAUUGUGCGGCUGGCCACACGCAGCGUCAACAGCAACAAUAACAAGCAGUUAGACGGGGCAUGCACAGCCAUAGGGAUACCCCGUGUUAGCGGCAGCACUUUUUUGACCAGCCCAACAGAGAAUGAGAAAGAGAGAGAGAGAGAGCGAGAGAGACAGGAAGUGGCAGCUGGGCGGCGGAGGGGCGUGGCUCUAUGGCAACGCAAGCCGCUUAACGCAACCAACUGCCAAAUGUAAAUAUACUCCAACCCCAAGUAAAGACCAGCAGCAGCAGCAUGGCGCAGCAGAGCCGCAAGCGGAAUGCGCAUUGUUUUCAGCUUUUCGGCAGCAAAAGCAACAACAACAAGUGGGUAAAUUCAGAACGGAACUGGGCAACUGGGAGCUGGGAGCUGGGAGCAGGGAGCAGGAGGCGACAAGGCAGCGCCGAGCACAGCGCAGCGCAGCGCGGGAUGCGGCGCGGCUUGAGGAACUUAAAAACUUUGGCCAUAUCCCGCAGCUAUGAACAACAGCAAUCAAUUUUCACAUGCCGGCGAACAAAUGUGCCGCAACGGGCGGCCCAGCGGCCCUGACUGCGACUCCAACUCUGGCGAGGAUGGCGUGGAUGGUGCUGUGGGGUGGUGUAGUAAGUUGGCCACCCUGCCUGCCACUGGGUAUUUUUUAAAAUUAUAAUGCGGCAGCGUGUGCGCGUGUGAAAAUGCCGUCAUGGCCAUCAUCAAACUGGGCAAACACACUGGACACCAGUCCUGUCCAGGCUAGUCCUGUCCAGGCGAGUCCUAUCCUGGCCAGUCCUAGCGCAGCACACACACAUAUAUUUACCAAGCGCUUCACAUUACGUCCAGUUCCAUCAAAUCAGUGCAGACACGCCCACGCCCACGCACACCACUCAAACGCCUCCAUCGUGAGCGCGUCGCUGAUUAAUUUCUCGUUUUUGCGCCAUUUUCUAUUUGUCUUGGUCUUGGUAAUUACAACAAGUUCCCUCGCACAAGAUAAACACAGCAUCUGGAGCAGCGGCAGUGGCAGUGGCAGUGGCAGCAUCCGUGGCAGCAGCAGCAUCAGUAACAUCUGCCAGAGCCAACAGCCAGAAGCUGCCCCGGCGCGAAGUGAUUCGCAGCUGGGUGAAUGCUUCCGGUAAUUGAAUCAAAUGAAGCAGCAUUAAGGGCGCCGGCCAGCGAGCGAUACGGAGCUCGACGUGAGCUAGUUUACCCGCAGCAGACGCCAAGGGGCGGAACGGCAAACGAAUUGAGCGUGUGUAUAGAAUAUAUAUAUACAUAUAAAUAUACCAUGUUAUAGGACUUGCUUGACUCAGAGAUACUCUGUAAAUGUAUAGGAAAUUGUGUAAAAUAUAGAGUUUAUUUAAUAGUCCAAAAAUAGUUCCAGAGUCUUAUAGAAAACUUUGAUUCGAUGAUAGCUAUAUAGCUUAUAUAUACCUCUCUAUAU
This is a long non-coding RNA of Drosophila mojavensis, 2422 nucleotides long. RefSeq lists it as uncharacterized. The transcript has 5 exons. Lineage: Eukaryota; Metazoa; Arthropoda; Insecta; Diptera; Drosophilidae. The record is from RefSeq and is a predicted model, not a curated record.